AUACGUAGGUGACAAGCGUUAUCCGGAUUUACUGGGCGUAAAGGGCGUGUAGGCGGUCUUGCAAGUCAGAAGUGAAAUUCCUGAGCUCAACUCGGGCGCUGCUUCUGAAACUGCAGGACUUGAGUGCUGGAGGGGAUAGCGGAAUUCCUAGUGGAGCGGUAAAAUGCGCAGAUAUUAGGAGGAACACCAGUGGCGAAGGGGGCUUGCUGGACGAAAACUGGCGCUGAGGCGCGAAAGCGUGGGGAGCAAACAGGAUUAGAUUCCCUGGUAGUCCACGCCGUAAACGAUGAAUACUAGGUGUGGGGGGACUGACCCCCUCCGUGCCGCAGUUAACACAAUAAGUAUUCCACCUGGGGAGUACGGCCGCAAGGUUGAAACUCAAAUGAAUUGACGGGG
This 396-nucleotide ribosomal RNA is filed under the name uncultured bacterium. RNAcentral's name for it is "partial 16S ribosomal RNA". It matches the Rfam family "Bacterial small subunit ribosomal RNA", at positions 523 to 918 of the family's 1533-position model. The record is from RNAcentral.